Molecule: transfer RNA, 72 nt
Filed under: Phrynosoma platyrhinos (Desert horned lizard)
Lineage: Eukaryota; Metazoa; Chordata; Lepidosauria; Squamata; Phrynosomatidae
Description: tRNA-OTHER
Rfam family: tRNA
About the family: Transfer RNA (tRNA) molecules are approximately 80 nucleotides in length. Their secondary structure includes four short double-helical elements and three loops (D, anti-codon, and T loops).
Source: RNAcentral
GCCAGAGUAGUAUAGUGGUUUGAGUGUUAGACUGCAACUCUGUAGACCAGGGUUCAAUUCCCAACUCAGCCA